GAGGGUAUAGCUCAGUGGGAGAGCGCAUGCUCAGCAGGCACGAGGUCCUGGAUUCAAUCCCCAGUACCCCA
Molecule: transfer RNA, 71 nt
Organism: Camelus ferus (Wild Bactrian camel)
Lineage: Eukaryota; Metazoa; Chordata; Mammalia; Artiodactyla; Camelidae
Rfam family: tRNA
About the family: Transfer RNA (tRNA) molecules are approximately 80 nucleotides in length.
Source: Rfam